AACGAACGCUGGCGGUAUGCUUUACACAUGCAAGUCGAACGGGUAAGAGCCGUAGCAAUGCGGAAUUCUGCUAGUGGCAAACGGGUGAGUAACGCGUGGGAACCUACCUUAUAGUACGGAAUAGCCCCGGGAAACUGGGAUGAAUACCGUAUACGCUCCUCGGAGGAAAGAUUUAUCGCUAUAAGAUGGGCCCGCGUUAGAUUAGCUAGUUGGUGAGGGAAUGGCUCACCAAGGCGACGAUCUAUAGCUGGUUUGAGAGGAUGAUCAGCCACACUGGAACUGAGACACGGUCCAGACUUCUACGGGAGGCAGCAGUGGGGAAUAUUGGACGAUGGGCGAAAGCCUGAUCCAGCAAUACCGCGUGAGUGAUGAAGGCCUUAGGGUUGUAAAACUCUUUCAGUAGGGAAGAUAAUGACGGUACCUACAGAAGAAGCACCGGCUAACUCCGUGCCAGCCGCCGCAGUAA
RNAcentral lists this ribosomal RNA (466 nucleotides) under uncultured bacterium. RNAcentral describes it as "partial 16S ribosomal RNA". It matches the Rfam family "Bacterial small subunit ribosomal RNA", at positions 29 to 523 of the family's 1533-position model. The record is from RNAcentral.